UUUUACAUCUCCUACUCAUCCUUAUCCCUCCCAGCUCGACCCUGAGGUUGUAUUACACUUAGAAACUCAGGAAAAAACAGGUUUUAGCUAUCCUCUUUCUCUCUCUAGGGUUUGGAGCUCAAGAGAGCUUGGUGUAGUGGUUUCGGCUUUUUCGACGUGCUUUCCUUGCGCUAGCUGGUUCGGGAGGAUUUGGAGGAGCUCUCUUUCUGUGAACUGGUGGAGGUGAAGGUUUUCUUGCAGCCCAACUUAGUUGGAACCUGGUUUGCAUUAAGCGGAUUUGGAUGGAGGUGUGGCGCAGCCCAAGAGGGUUUUGGAGGCUGUGAUUUUCCUACUCAAGCUCAGGAAGGAGCUGAUUAGAGGCUUGAAUCAGCAACCAUGAUUUCCUCUUUGAGCUGAAAUUGGGACCUCGUGAAGUUAGGUUGGAAGGUAUUUCAGCGAGUGGUUGCAACAACGAAUUGAUUGGUUCUUGACUGACCUUGGGGAGCUUUCGGAGAGUUAAAUUUCAAGUUUAAACAGCUCCAAAAUAGGAAAUUAAGCUACUACACUACUCAAGGUUUGAGCUGAGUUUUGAGGACACCUAGCUUCCUUAUUGAGCUCACUCAAUUUUCC
Molecule: long non-coding RNA, 609 nt
Organism: Ananas comosus (pineapple)
Lineage: Eukaryota; Viridiplantae; Streptophyta; Magnoliopsida; Poales; Bromeliaceae
Exons: 5
Source: RefSeq, a predicted model, not a curated record